AUUGUGCUCAUCAUGCUGAGUAAAUGUUAGAAAAAUAGUCUGACUUAGAAUUAGAUCGAUUAAUUAAGAAUAAAUUGAUCUUAAUAAAUUGAAUGUAACAGAGGUUUAAAAAAUAUCUGUUCGAUAUUGUCAUGGGUUGAUCGAGUCUCCCAUGCAGUAGAAGUUUUAUCUUGAGAUAUUUCAUCUCCUUCCCUUUCUAGGGCAUGUCGUCCGAGAAUUUUAAGUCGAAACUUGUCAAGUUGAUAUUUUGUGAGGUUUAACCUGUAGAUCA
RNAcentral lists this long non-coding RNA (271 nucleotides) under Elaeis guineensis (African oil palm). RNAcentral's name for it is "long non-coding RNA (EGUI_LNC008687)". Lineage: Eukaryota; Viridiplantae; Streptophyta; Magnoliopsida; Arecales; Arecaceae. The record is from RNAcentral.